Molecule: long non-coding RNA, 14513 nt
Filed under: Marmota monax (woodchuck)
Lineage: Eukaryota; Metazoa; Chordata; Mammalia; Rodentia; Sciuridae
Source: RNAcentral
AAGCCAAUGCAAAAACUGAGUGAAGAACAGACUUUAUCUGAAUGAGGAACAACUCAUUGUGGUGGAUGAGGACCCAACGUGGAAGUUACACUUCUCGAGCUUGGCUCACGAGUUAGGCUGCUCCUUGAUGAAACAGAAAAUCGAGAACAUUUUGUGUGGAAGGCACUUAGUGAUGAGAAGGCGACACCUGGCUCUCUCCUCUCAUCAUUGGUGGCUCACUCCUACAGUCAUCAACCUGUGUUUAGAUUGUCACCUGAAGAAAGGAAAAACAGACUGUCCUGGAUGUUGAUUCUGCUGUUUUGAUGGAAAAAGAAAAAAAAAUUUUUUUUUUUUUUUUUAAGGCAAAUGGCAAACAACAAAACUUUAGAGAAAGCAGGCGUGGGGAGAGCCCAGUGCAGUUUCAUAAUGGGUAUGAAUAGUUAUUUUUGCUGCUUUCCUUUUCUUUCUUUCUGGGUUUUGAUGUGGAUCUCUUUCUAUUUGUUCAGGAAACUGUGACGUGUGUUCUGGGCAGGGUUUGAGGUUUUGGAACCUUUUCUAAAAGGGACAGAGAGCACCCUGCUGCAUUUCCUAAUCGUGGGCUGGCGUGUUGGAGUGAGCUGGUCAUGAUGCAGAAGGUCCUCAAGUGCAGUAGCCUGGCCCUGGCUCUCGCCCUCAUCCUGGUUUUGGAAUCUCCAGUCCAAGGUAAGACCCAGGAAACUUGUUCCCCUGUAACCUUUUCCAUAAGCCCCAGGGACCAUGCAAAUGAUAAUGACUAUUUUAAUACAAGGUACUGACGGUAUUAUAUUGUGGGAAAGGAGGCAAAGACGAAAGAUUAAACAUGACCAAACUCCUUUGUGUGAGUUCAGUUGAGUCUGGUACCAAGAAAAAUUAAACUCUGAGGCAGGUGCAGCCAUAUAAACUCUUACAAUGAUUGAAAUGUGCUGUUUCACUUUGGAUGAAAAUGUGUGGUUUAUUAAUUUUUAAAGGUCAGGAAAGGAAUAAGGAAAAGGACUCACAUGCCUGAUCCAUGGAGAUGGCACCUUGGAAUGUUCUGGAAUUUCUACCUAUUCCUGGAUGUCUACACAAACCCCAAGUUGGAAUGCAUUGUGGUGGUGUCAUCAUUUUAACAUUGGGAAAUACUAUUUUUUAAUUAGGGUAAAUUUGACAGUGUGUAUUUUUUUUCUUUUUCUAAUUUGUCACUGUAAAUUUGAUUAUAGGUAGACAUAGUUAAUGUAAACCUUAGGUUUUAAAGAAAGCCCAAAGAAUAUUAGGAUUUGAGCUAUUGCUCAGAGAAACAUCACAUUUGGAAAUAUCUUCUUAGUUUGAUCUAUCAUUUAGGGCUCUUUAGUUGGACUGAAACAAUUUAAAUCUUUUAAUGACUAAGAAAACGAAAAUGCUCAGUUUAUAAGAAAAAGGCAAUUUCUUUUGCUUUUGGUAAAUAAAAAAAAAUCAUAAUAAGGCAGAAGGUCCCAGCCUAACAAGUAGAUGACAGAAUUUAUAGUAGGAAAACAUUAAGUUCCCCCAAAUGGUAAAGGAAAUGUUGAGUCACAGUGACACGCUUGUCCUGGAUUUGUUUCUUCGAAGUGACUUCUAACUGUCAUGUUCUUACUUCCUGUGGAAAUGAAAUCUUACAAAUGAUCUCAAAGAAAUUCCUCAGAUAUUGGAAAUUCAUAAAGUCAUCAUCUUCUAGUUAUUGCAUUAGAGGAAAAACAGCAAGUAAUACUACUGCAACAGUUCCCUUCAUCUUCUUAGUUUUAAAGUGUAAAAGUAGAGAACGAGCUUUUCUUGGAUCCUUUUGGGAAAAGCUACAGCCUGAUGUAAUGAUUCCCUAACACCCGUGUGCUUUGACAAGAUUAAGUGAGGUUCAUAUUUGUGGCACAGACUUGAGUGAUGCAUUGGUGCUGAGUAGAUCCCUACCUAAGUUUUUCUAUCUUCAAAAUUUCCCCAAAGUGUCACAUUUUUCACUGACUCAAUGGGUAAGACCAGAACAAAAACGAAAACUUUCCUUUUAUGUGUAUGCAGAAGAAAGAAACCAUCUUGAAAUUGUUGAAAAUACUAACAUUUAUGUAGAUUUCGAUCUUCGUUAGAAAAGGAAACCAAAAAGAAGACAAUGAAUGAACUGAAAAAUGAGGGUAUUUCUGAGGGGAACUUGGGCUUCGGCUCAAGGACACGUGCUCACAUUGAACUUGAGGGGAAAAGAGAUGCCUUGUGCGUGUUAGUGAUGCAAUAAGAGGCCAAGGGCAGAGCCAGGACUCCAUUUCACCACACCCCACCUGAUGCCAGAGAGAGGGGAUAACAUCCUCCCCCAGCUUAAAAAAACAAACAAACAAAACUUACCAUGCCCUGCGCAUGCCUGUAAUCCCAGCGGCUUGGGAAGCUGAGGCAGGAGGAUCACAAGUUCAAGGCCUGUCUCAGCAAUUUAGUGAGGCCCUAAGCAAUUUAGUGAGAGCCUGUCUCAAAAUUUAAAAAUAUAAAAAGGGCUGGGGAUGUGGUUCAGUGGUUAAGUGUCCCAGGGUUUAAUCCCUGGUACAAAAAAAAAGAAAAGAAAAAAAAAGUUUACUGAAUUUACUGGUUUUAGAUUAGCAAGGCUUUUGGUGUGCUUUUGCUGAGCACCUUCAACCCCUCUUAGGUUCCUGCAUUCAUCUGCUUGGCCCGCCAUAACAAAGUAACACAGACCACAUGACUUACACAACAGAAAUUCAUUUCCUCACAGUUCUGGAGUCUAGCAUCCAAGAUCAAGGUUUUGCUAGGUUGGUUUCCUUCUGACGCCUUUCUCUUUGGCUUAUAGAUGCUGCCUUCCCCUUUGGUCUUCACGUGGCCUCUCUUGCACACAUCUGUGUUCUAACUGUCUAUUCUGAUAAGGACACCAGUCAUAUUGGAUUGGGGCUACCCUAAUGAUUUCAUCUGAACCACAUCUGCAAUGAUCCUCUUUCCAAAUUAUGUCACAUUAUGAGGUUAGGACUUGAACAUAUGAAUUCUGCAAGGGAUAUACUUCAGCUAUCACAUAAUUGUUUUUAAAAACCCAAUACACACACGAAUGUAAAAUUGUCCACUGAGUGGAAAGAAAUGGAAGUGCCGUGACGUGUGCAGAGGAUGGAGAGCACAGAUGGCUAAUCUAGUUCAUGUAGGCUCCACGGGGUUAUUAAUGAGGUCUGAAUCCUAGCGCUGUGUUACAGCCUUUCUUUUCAAAGAUACCCGUAAAUAAAGAAAAUGGAACAUUCAUGAGCAGGUGUGACCAAGGGACCAGGGCUAGCCCGUGUGUUCCCACCACACUGUCUCCUAGAGCACAGUACUGAUCCCACCCACAUGUGCAGCUGUUUGUAAAGGGCAUUCACACCCAUUCUCUGGUAAGGAUCAUCACAUUCCUUGGGAGGAGGAAUUAGCACCAAUUGGUAGAGAAAAAAAAACUGGACCUGAAAUUCAUCAUCUCAUUUGCUCUUUACAUCAGCCUCUUGCAAAAUAUGUGUGGGUUUUGCCCAAGGCCCAUUGCAACUGACUAAUGGCAGAAGUAGUCAUUCCAACGUCAAGUCUAGCAUUAACUUGUUGUUGAUUAGAAGUUUUUUAAAUUUAAAACAACAAAAAAAAAUAUCACUGGGCAUCAUGGUGCCUGCCUGUCAUCCUGGUAGGUUGGGAGGCUGAGACAGGAGAAUUGAAAGUUCAAAGCCAGCCUCAGCAAUUUAGUGAGGUCUUAAGCAACUUAGGGAGACCCUGUCUCUAAAUAAAAAGGGGCUGGGGGGAGGGGCUGGGGUCGUGGCUCAGCGGUAGAGCGCUCACCUAGCACAUGCAAUGCGCUGGGUUCGAUCCUCAGCACCACAUAAAAAUAAAUAAAUAAAAUAAAGGUAUUGUAUCCAACUACAACUAAUCUAUAUACGUGUGUGUGUGUGUGUGUGUGUAUUUAUAAAGGGUGGGGGGGUGCUGGGGAUGUGGCUCAGUGGCUGAGUGCCCCUGGGUUCAAUCCCUAGUAUUAAAACAAAAACAAAAAACAAUCGAAAACACCAAAACCCUUUCUUUGACUAUUGCCCUUGCUAUGUUUACUACUGACUUGAGGGAGAAAUUGAAACUAAACUUGGAGUUUUUUAUAACUUGUCAAACCAUGCAAGAGUCGGAAGUUUAUCCAUCUUGUGGAAUUGUAGACCAGUAGGAAGUAACGUCAACUUAGAUAAUGACAGUUGCUUAAAUGCACCCAUUUUGAGUGAAGCAAAUAUCCCCCCCCCUUUAUGACAGUUUCUGCUUAAGCUUCUGUAACACACUUGCAAUACGUUUCCAUUAAGAAUAGGAAGUUAGUAAAUAGUGAUUAUGUUAGGGGAAAAAGUGUUACUAUCAUAUAAAAAAAUACAGAGGCACUACUGGAGAAAGUUGCUUGAUAACAUUUACUCAUAGAGUGUAUGUUGAUCAAGCAGAGCUAGUGAGGGUAUGUGUGUGGGUGUGGGGGAAGUGGAGGACAGUGAGGGAAGGGAUUUUUUCUUUUUUUUUGCCGGGGGUACAGGGGAUUGAACCCUUUUUAUUUUUUGAGACAGGUCUCACUAAGUUGCUGAGGCUGGCCUUAAACUUGUAAUCCUCCUCCCUCAGCCUCCUGAGUUGCUAGGACUAUAGGUGUGCAUCACCUUGUCCAGCUGGAAGGAAUUCUUAAUAAAAAUCAUACUUUUCCCUGGAAUCCAUACACAAUGAACCAGCAGAUCCUCUGUGAAGCAGAUCCUUCUAUGAAGAUGUUUCUGACUAGGAGAGCAUUUUCUUUUAUUUUUAAGAUUAUGAUAAUCGUGAGAAAUUUAUCUCAAGUAAAAGAAAGUCAAGGUACUCUCACAACUUCAGGAGUUAGAACCUUGACUUUUUACAUCCUGCCAGCACCUGUGGAUAACUAUGUCAGGAAUUUUGUGUCUAUAACUGCUCUUUCUUUAUUUUUUUAAUUGUAGUCGGACACAAUGCCUUUGUUUUAUUUAUUUACUUUUAUGUGGUGCUGAGGAUCGAACCCAGGGCCUUGCACGUGCUAAGUGAGCACUCUACUGCUGAGCCACAACCCCAGCCCUUGUUCUUUAUUUUAAAAUAUCUUCAACAAAUUCAAUAGACUUUUGGAGUGGGAGACUUCUAUCUCUGAUUUUUUUUAAUGUUUAUUUUUUAGUUUUAGGUGGGCACAAUAUCUUUAUUUAUUUAUUAAUUUUUUAUGUGGUGCUGAGAAUCGAACCCAGUGCCUCAUGCUUGCUAGGCGAGCGUGCUACCAGUGAGCAACAUCCCCAGUCCUAUCUCUGAUUUUUAACAGCUUUACUAAGAAGGAGUUCAUAUACCAUACAAUUCACAUUUUAGGGUAUAUAGUUUGAGCCAGGGGUGUGUCUUAGCAGCAGAGCACUUGCCUAGCAUGUAGAAGCCCUACGUUCAAUCCCCAGCACUGCAAAAAAAAAAAAAAAGUAAGGUCUAUAAUUCAGUUAUUUUUAGUGUAUUCACAGAACUGUGCAACCAUCCCCAUAGUUGAUUUUUAGAACAUCUUCUAAUCUGGGCACAGUCAUGCAUGCCUGUAAUCCCAGCGGCUCUGGAGGCUGAGGCAGGAGGAUCCAGAGUUCAAAGCCAUCCUCAGCAACAGGGAGGAAGAGUUAAGCAACUCAAAGUUCUGAACUUGGGGGCUAAUUUUGUAUUUUAGAAAUAAAUGUUGGGGGGGGGUUGGGGUUGUGGCUCAGCAGUAGAGCGCUGACUCGCACGUGCAAGACCCUGGGUUCGAUAUUCAGCACCACAUAAAAAUAAAUAAGUGAAAUAAAGGUAUUGUUUCCAACUACAACUAAAAAAUAAAUUUGUCAAAGUUAGAGCUGCUCUACUAGUGAAAAGAUGCAGUCUUUCACGGGGGUACCCCCUCAAAGCAUUCAUUUAGGGGUACGGGGGGAGUGCUUGCCUAGCAUGCAUAAGGCCUGGAGUCUGAUCCCCAGCACCAAAAAAAUAAAUAAACUAAAUAAAUUUAAUUUUUCUGUUUAACUUCCUAUCCAAGAAAAUAUUUUCUCACCUUGCUAUUCAAUGUAUUUCAAACUCUUGAAAUAUGACAAGUCCAAAUUGACACAUGCUGUGAAUAUGAAGUAUAUUUUAUUUUGAAGACUUAGUUUGAAAAAUAAGAAUGUAAAAUUCCCUGGUAAUAACUGUUAUCCUGGGGCUGGGGUGGAGCUUAGUGACCGAGCACUUGCCUAGCAUAUUCAAGUCCUUGGAUUCGCCCCCAGUAUUGAAAAAACAAAACAAAACAAAAAAACAACUUUUAUAUUGAUUAUGUGUUAAGUGAUAAUAUCCUAAAACAUGAGUUAAAUAGACUAUAUUAAAAUUAAUUUUACCUGUUUUUGAAACAUCUCUGAUUGCAUUAGCUGGCUUCAUGUUUCAAUUGGAUAGUGAGGUCUGGACCCCAUAGGUGUGAAGACAUCGCCCUCUGCUGGGGGAGAUGUUUGAUUUUUGUCUCACCAACUAGGAGUUUCCUAAGCCCUAAUUAGAUGCCACAUUAUUACUGCCUCAGGAAAGAAUCAGAAAAGGAGAUAAAAUAUAUUCAAUAUCUAUUAUGUGCAAAAGCUUGUGUUAGAUGCUUCACAUAAUUUUAUUUCACCUAAACAGAAACUCGUAUUUUUAUUUAUUUAUUUAUUUUUAUUUUUGGUGUUGAGGAUUGAACUCAGGGACUCUUUACCAUGGGAGCGAUAUCUGCAGUCCUUUUUGAGACAUGAUCUUGCUAAAUUGCUGAGGCUGGCCUUGAACCAGAGAUCCUCUGCCUCAGCCUCCCAAGUUGCUGGGAUUACAGGUGUGCACCGCCAUGCUCAGCUAACUGGGAACGCUUUGCUGUGGUAUUUCUCAUAUUUUUGUGUAAUUUUCCCCAAUAUCUGUUUGAAAGAUGAUAAUUUGAGAAUUUGAAAGGUACUAAGUUGUCGAAUGGUAACUCAGAUUUAAAUUCUGGACUCUCUACAAUCCUCAAGUUGUAGGUUGUUGUAAUUUUCAUCAGAGAAACUAGCAUUUGAAAAGCUCUGCCAUGGUGCUAGUUGCCAUUCUAAGAACCUAACAUUCACAUCUCACUGUUACAUCCAUGAUGGUUCCCAUUUUACAGAUGAGGAAGUUGAGGUGUGGAGAGGUUAAGUUGGCCACGGUCAUAUGGCCAGUAAUGGGCAGACCUCGUGAUGUCAUCUUGCCUGCCUUAUCCCCAGAGCGUUUUGGACAAUUAGUUCCCACACCAGACUCUGUAAGCUCUACUCAGGAACCAUGGGGAAGAUUGUGAUCGAACAGAGAAGAGAAAGGAAGCAAACUGGCUAACUAAAUGUGGAAUAUUUACUCUUUCCAAGUCAGUCUUUUAAAUGUUUAUGUUUUAGAGGAAUGUUAUCUAUUAUAGCAAGUUAGAAAAGAAAAAAAAUCAUCAAAGAGUCUACCACCAGUUAUUUUUGUGUAAUUUCUUCCAUUUUCCACAGUAUCUUUUUUUUUUUAAACAAGUUCUCUCUCUCUUUUUUUUUUAAAGGGAGAGUGAGAGGGAGAGAGAGAAUUUUUAAUAUUUAUUUUUUAGUUCUUGGCGGACACAACAUCUUUGUUUGUAUGUGGUGCUGAGGAUCGAACCCGGGCUGCACGCAUGCCAGGCGAGCGCGCUACCGCUUGAGCCAUAUCCCCAGCCCCUUUCCACAUUAUCUUUUCACUCAUUUUUUUUUAUUUAUUUGCUUACUUAUUUAAUUAUUUUGGUACUGCGAAUUGAACCCAGGGGUGCUCAACCACCGAGCCACAUCCACAGUCCCUUUUUAUUUUUAUUUUGAGACAAUGUCUUCCUAAGGUGCUGAGGAUCUUGCUAAGUUCCUGGCUUUGAACUUGCAAUCCUCCUGCCUCAGCCUCCGGGAUUAUAGGCACCUCAGCUCCUGGCAACAACUACUGUUUAGCUGUUUGGUUAGUGAGCACCUUGUCAUUUUUCCAAGCAUUUAUAUUGUUUUGUGCUGGGCUUUUCUGCUUUGCAAGAAUUGCAGCCAUGCUUCUUCUUGCUAGGUGAUUACUAGUGCUCGAAGCACUUGUUUGAAUAAAAUGUGCGCUGGGGCGGGGAGGAGAUGAACUGUUUGCAGGAUGGCGUGGUAUUUCUCACCAUCAAGCUUCUGUCCUUGCUAAACUGAGUCAUGAAGAAGGUGUUUCAUGAAUUAAUAAAGGGUCCUAUAUAUCAUAUCACCUUAGAAUACCAGAUUUGGAGACUUUUCUAUAGAAUUUAAAUUCAAAGAAGCAGUGAGAUACUUGACUAUUGCAACCUCUCUGUUCCUCUGUGAAUAGGCUAGUCUUCUUGUGAAAUCUCUGAAGAGAAAGAGUUUUGAUUUACUUUUCAUUCCCAAGAAUCCUGUAUGGUCCUAAAACAUAAGCCCCAGCACUCUCUAAUGGCUUAGAUACUUCUCAGUGCACUUCUUAACCUUUCUGAACCAGAUUUGUCUCAUCUCUCUAAAGAGGCUGACUUUGGGAUCAGGUAUAGGUUGGAAUCCUGGAUCUUCUACUAAGCUCCUUGGUGGCCUCAAUUUUCCAAUGUGAAAAUCGGAGAUAAUAGCACAAAAAUAAUAAUAGUCCCAGGCAUGAUAGCACACACCUGGAUUCCUAGCAACUUGGGAGGCUAAGGCAGGAGGAUCACCAAGAUCAAGGCCAGCCUGGGGUACUUGGUGAGGCCCUAAGCAACUUAGUGAGACCCUGUCUCAAAAUAAAAAAUUAAAAGGAUGGGGAUGUGGCUCAGUGGUUGAGCACCUCUGGAUUCAAUCUCCAGUAAACCCUACACAUAAAUAAUAAUAAUAAUUAAUGUUAUCCAUUGUUUACUAUGUACCUGGCACUAUGUUAAAGUUUUCUCAUGAUUUUUUUGAUUUAAUUUUUAUUUUGGGGUAUACCAGGGAUUGAACCCAGGGGUACUCAACCACUGAGCCACAUCCCUAGCCCUAUUUUAUAUUUUAUUUAGAGACAGGGUCUCACUGAGUUGCUUAGUGCCUUGCUUUUGCUGUAGUUGGCUUUGAACUCGUGAUUCUCCUGCCUCAGUUUCCUGAGCUGCUGGGAUUACAGGCGUGCACCACUGCACCCGGCUUCAAUUUAAUUUUGUGACAAGCUUAUGAUACUAUUAAGACCUGCAUUUUACAGCAGGGGUUCCAGGAAGUUUAGGUUUCAUAACUAGCCAGUAGCAGAGUCAGGAUUUGCUUGCAGGCAGCUGACAUCAAUAUUAAACUCUCUGCUACUUUAUGGGAAUGCUGUGGGGACAAAAAACAUUUACAAAAGGCUAGUGCAGAGUGGGAGCUGCUAUUUUGUUAAUGGACAUUAAACCUGUCUGUGCUGCACCUUCUACCAAAUUUAGAAUCCAUUUAAUUUAAAAACUUCUGGUUUCAAUCCAUUUAAUUAACAACAGAGCAGUUCAAAGCUGUGGAAGAGAUACUUAUUUCUCACGGGUUCCUUGUUCGGGCAGGUUAUCCUAUGCGGAGAGCCAGGUACCAGUGGGUACGCUGCAGUCCCGACAGUAAUUCUGCAAACUGCAUUGAUGAAAAGGGACCCCUGUUCAACCUCCCUCCAGGCGAGUCUAACAGGAUCCUCCCUGCAAGGACUGACCCUUUUCCGUAAGUGAACUUUGAUUUUACAGAGGUUAUAGUUUCACAAUGUCUAGUGAAAUCUUGAAGUGGAAGUUGGAGGACCUCCACACCAAGCUUUAAGCUUCUGCUUUGGAAGUUUGGAUUUUACUGUGCAGUACUUGGUAGAACUGUACCAUAUACGCUGGUAUACAAGAUGAGCAAGUAUACAUAUUUUGUCUGUUUUUGCAAGGUUUGUUGUGGGUGACAGACAAGCAUUGAGUGCUUUUCACCAACAGAUAUUAAAAAUGACUAAAGAUUGUUUUAUUUAUGUACAUAGAGUAUAUUAUAUUAAAAUUCAAUUGGAGUCCAUCAGGUAUUCUAAUAAAUAAACAGUGUGCUACGUCAGUAAAAUAGAAUAUUAUUUAACUUAUUUAGCCAUGAAAGAAUGAAAUACUGAUAUAUGGCUGGGUGCAGGGAUGCAUGCCUGUAAUCCUAGUGGCUCAGGAGGCUGAGGCAGGAGGGUCACAAGUUAAAAGCCAGCCUCAGCAGCUUAGUGAGGCCCUAAGCAACUCAGCAAGACCCUGUCUCUAAAUAAAAUAUUAAAAAAGAAAAAAAAAAGGCUGGGGAUGUGGCUUAGUCAUUGAGCACCCCUGGGUUCAAUCCCCAGUACCAUAAAUAAAUAAAUAAAUAAACCUGGAAGUACCAAUAUCUGCUACAACAUAGGUGAGCCUUGAAAACAUUAAACAGAAGAAAGAAGCCAGUUACAAAAAGCCACAUAUUAUAUGAUACCAUUUACAUGAAAUGUCCAGAAUAGGUAAACCCCUAGAGACAGGAAGUAGAUUGCUGGUUGCCAGGGACUGAGGAGAGGGAUGACUAAGGAGUGAUUGCUACUGGGUAUGGUUUUGUGGGGGAGGAUGAUUAGAAAUGUCCUGGAAUUGGGGGUGAUUAAUAAAAUGGGAAAGAAAAAAAUAAAUGGCAUGCCAUGUAGAACAACCCAAACCCCUUCUUGAUCAACAAAGCCUGCUUAAACUUGCAAACAGUGCCAAUAGGAAUUCGUAAGUAACCAAACGUUGAAUUACAUAAGUCAUUUACUUUAGUGAAUAUCAAAAUUAUAUAGUUUAUAGCAAAGAUGGGUGAAAAAAAAUGAUUAUCAUCAAAGUUUAAAUCUUCAGGCUCAAACCUAGAUCAGAAUGAAACUUUGUAGUCCUGCCCUGUGUUCUUACUUUAAGUUUAUAGCAUGAAGUCUGAACUUAAUAUUGUAGCAUUCUCCAUUUCUUUAAGCCAUAGGUUUCACUAAUAAUUCAUUUAAAUCUAAAAUAUUAGAAGAAUAACUUAAAUUCUCCAAAACAACUCUUCUUCUUCUUCUUUUUUUUUUCCCUUUAACUGGGAAAGGAACCAGGGCCUUAUAUGUGCCAGGCAACCAUUCUACCAUUGAGCUACUUCUAGCCUCCUGCUUUUUAAAAAUUUUGAGACAGGGUCUCCCUAAGUUGCUGAGACUGCCCUUCCAUUUGCAAUCCUCCUGCCUCAGCCUCCCCAGUAGCUGGGACUACGGGCGUGAGCCACAACACCUAGCUCCAAAACCUCUCUUCACAUCAUUUCUUCUCUCUUAUAACCUCUGUGAUCUUCCCUUCCUGAAGCCAGUAACUUUGCUUCUCAUUCCAACACUCUGAUUUUCCUCCUGUCAUUAUAGAUGAAUGGUCUCUGCUUCUGUGCCUAACGCAGGCCCCUUGCCUUCUGAUCCAUCCCUUGUCCUUCCUGGUCCUGCUCUGUAUGUGGGUGGGGGAGGGCUGAUCCCUGUGGUCUGCUUUCCUGAAGCAUUCAGGUUUGUGGCUGACUGUGGGCCAAUGGGGGCACAAAAGAGAUGGGGGAGGCCAGCAGGAAGAGAACUCAAGAGGCACCUCUGGCAUGGGUUUGUCAUAUAGUGGCUGCAUUUCCCACUGGAUGCCCCUGGUCUCUGGGCUCAGAUAAUAUCAGUCUUCUGCUAUCACUCUAGCUCACUAGGAAAGUACUUUCUUGCUGUUGCUAAUCUCUGAAUUACCACAUCAUCCUCUAUUUGGCUUCACUUCUCCUUGAACACAUGCAUAAGCAGUGCCCUUUGUAUUAAAUAUUUAGAGAAGUUUCCCGAUCGGGCCUUGGUUGUUGCAACUUCUAAGGUCAACCCUCUCUGUGUCUGGUAUCCUAUCCCCAUUCACACCACCUUCUCUACAACUUCAAUUCUGCAAUUACCUCUCUGAACCCAGUAUCUUCUUCCCAGCAGGCUUCAGGCAUACUUUAGUGUCUCCUAUUUAGGUAUCUUCUCUCUCUCUCUCUCUCUCAUUCUGGUACCAAAGGCUGAACCUAGUGGGACUUAACACCUGAGCCACAUUCCCAGCCCUUUUAUAUAUUUUUCAUUUAGAGACAGGGUUUCACUAAGUUAAUGAGGCUGGCUUUGAACUUGUGAUACUCCCGCUUCAGUCUCCUGAGCUGCUAGGAUUACAGACGUGCACUGCCGCACCCAGCAUCUUCUUUUCAAAUUCUUGCUUCUCUUUGCUUCCAUACCCCACCUUAUCAUGGUUUCCUCCUGCCUUCCCUGGCUGUUUUCUCUUGUGCUGAAUUUUUUAUAUACUGGUGUGGCCCCGGCUGUUGUGGGUCCUCCUCUCAAUCUACAUGUUUUCGCUAGGUGACCUCCUCCUGUUACCUGGCUUCUAACACCAUUUAUAUGUCAAUAACUACCAAAUCUGAUCCCCCAGGCUGAAGUAGCCACAUGGCAUCCUCUGUGACAUUACUCUAUUUCAUUUCUCUGCACCACUUAAUGUUUUCUUGAUUUUUUAUUCACUUUUUGUUGUCUUUCCACUAAGUUAAAAGUUUCUUGAGUCAGGUGCACACCUGUAAUCCCAGUGACUUGGGAGGCUAAGUCAGGAGGAUUGCAACUUCAAAGCCAGCCUCAGCAAUUUAUUGAGGCCCCAAGCAACUUAGUGAGACCCUUUCUCUAGAUAAAAUAUAAAAAAGGACUAGGGAUGUGGCUCAAUGGUUAAGUGCCCCUGGAUUCAAUCCCUGGUACAAAAAAAAAAAAAAAAAAGAAAGUAAGUUUCUUGAUCAGGGACCUCAAGGACCUCAUCUAUCUAUUCCUGUUCUUUCCCAGACACUCAGAACAGGGAUCUCUUCUAUGGUUCUUAUUCAACAGAUAUAUUUAUUGAAUCCAUGCAUGACUGAAAACUCCAAUUGAUUGUGACCUGGGUUUCUUAUUUUCAUGGUGAAAAUGAUCCGCAGGAUGUGAUGCUCAACUUUAGUCUCUGAUGCCAUGCUCUGAUCUCCUAAGGAGAGAUGGCACCAUUGCUUUGAUCUUUGGUUGCUCACUUGACUUCUAAGGAGCACACUCAGAAGCAUAAGCCCCACCCUUCAGCACCUUCAGCUCAUGAAUGCAGAUUGGAAGCAGAUUAAUUUGGGGAUAUAUUGGGGGGUGAUAAAUUGAAUGUGAAGGAUGGGCAUGGUGGCACAUGCCUGUUAUCCCAGAAGCUCAGGAGGCUGAGGCAGGAGAAUCAGAAGUUCAAGGCCAUCCUCAAUAACUUAGCAAGACCCUGAGCCACUUAGUGAGACCCUGUGUCUAAUAAAAUAUAAAAAAGGGCUGGGAAUAUAACUCAGUGAUUAAACACCCUGCUUGACUUGGUUUUUUGUUUUAUAGCAUUCAAUAAUUUAGAGACUUAAAGAGCUAAACUCUUAAUUUGGCUGCAUUUAUUUCUUUAUCAUAAAAAUAUUAUGAUUAUAUACCCUAUGAAACAAACUUUACUAUGUUUUUUUUUCUUUCAUAUUUCAGAAUGAAAAGAUUCCAGAACUUGAAUGAUGUUUUCCCCCUUUCUGAGGACUAUUCUGGAUCAGGCUCUGGGUCUGGUUCUGGAUCUGGAUCAGGAUCUGGAAGUGGCUCUGGAAAUGGUUUCCAAAAUGAAAUGGAACAGGAAUACCAACCAGUUGCUGAAAAUGAUGCUUUCUAUUACAACUUCAGGUCUUUCGAGAGCAAUCAGCCCUCAGACAACCACAACUUGGGUCAAGAAGGAUUAGAAGAGGAUUUCAUUAUAUAAAAAUGAAGGUUUCCCCACCUUGAUGCCAGGCGAUGUAUUCAGUGUAUUUUGUGUACCAUGGUUAAAUGAUCAGUCUUGGGACAAAGAGUUUUAUGGAAAUUUUAAAACAUCUGAUAAAAAACCUUAAACUUUAUCACCUUUAUUUCUCAUGAAUUCUUAAAGGAUUAUGCUUUAAUGUUGUUAUCGGUCUUAUUUUUCUGAAAAAUACCUUCUUUUUUGGCACUGGGUAUCAAACCCAGGCCUUCACACAUAAGAGGCAACUGCUUUACCACUGAGCUACAUCCCAGCCUAAUACUUGCAAUUUUUUUGGUUAUCUUGUUCAACCCAACAUCAUUAUGAAAUGAACUAGACUCCCAUUACAUGAAGUUACUUUAAAGAAGAAAAAAUUAUACUGUUUUUUAAAAAUUCAGUCUGUGAAGCAAAUUGAUAGGCAAUAUUUCAUACCUCAAUCUUCAGGCACCUGACUCUGAUUAUGAAUUAUAGAUCUAUCCCUUUUAUUAUGGGAAAAAAAGAUGAAACAGUACAUUUAUAGAGUGGGUAUUUGACAUGGAGUACAAUGUUAAGGGUGGUAUUGUACUGUUACUGUUGGGUGUGUUGCAAAGCUAGAGGACACUGUUCAGCUGAAGUGUGAUUGUUACGAUUAAAAACUUAGGACCCCAGUUAAAGCACAGUUGUGCUUCUCAGUAUCGCAUCCUGCUUUACCUUUUACCACUGGAUAUCUUCAUUUUCAAAUGUUAUUCUAUUAAAGCAGAAGUAUAACCAAAGGGUUAAGCUGUCUGGGAUCUCUUGUUGUAAACUGGGGGAAUAAUUAUUUUUGAUCAGAUGUUUCUCUAAAAGUCCUAAAUUUAAACUUUCAAUCAUGGCUUCCCUGUUGAUGGGGAUGGAUGAUGGUCAGGUACUCAAAUGGAAUCUUGACCCAGGUCUGGCUCACAGGGAUCAUUUUUCCAAUCCUUAAAUAUAUCAUUAAAUGGAUAUGCUUGGUAGUUAG